This 489-nucleotide ribosomal RNA is filed under the name Acinetobacter johnsonii. Its description in RNAcentral is "bacterial SSU rRNA". It matches the Rfam family "Bacterial small subunit ribosomal RNA", at positions 13 to 493 of the family's 1533-position model. The record is from RNAcentral. Lineage: Bacteria; Pseudomonadati; Pseudomonadota; Gammaproteobacteria; Moraxellales; Moraxellaceae.
UUGAUCCUGGCUUCAGGAUUGAACGCUGGCGGCAGGCUUAACACAAUGCAAGUCGAGCGGGGAAAAGGUAGCUUGCUACCUGACCUAGCGGCGGACGGGUGAGUAAUGCUUAGGAAUCUGCCUAUUAGUGGGGGACAACAUUCCGAAAGGAAUGCUAAUACCGCAUACGCCCUACGGGGGAAAGCAGGGGAUCUUCGGACCUUGCGCUAAUAGAUGAGCCUAAGUCAGAUUAGCUAGUUGGUGGGGUAAAGGCCUACCAAGGCGACGAUCUGUAGCGGGUCUGAGAGGAUGAUCCGCCACACUGGGACUGAGACACGGCCCAGACUCCUACGGGAGGCAGCAGUGGGGAAUAUUGGACAAUGGGCGAAAGCCUGAUCCAGCCAUGCCGCGUGUGUGAAGAAGGCCUUUUGGUUGUAAAGCACUUUAAGCGAGGAGGAGGCUACCGAGAUUAAUACUCUUGGAUAGUGGACGUUACCGCAGAAUAAGCAC